GGUCCUAAGGUAGCGAAAUUCCUUGUCGGGUAAGUUCCGACCCGCACGAAAGGCGCAACGAUCUGGGCACUGUCUCAACGAGAGACUCGGUGAAAUUAUAGUACCUGUGAAGAUGCAGGUUACCCGCGACAGGACGGAAAGACCCCGUGGAGCUUUACUGCAGCCUGAUAUUGAAUUUUGGCACAGUCUGCACAGGAUAGGCAGGAGCCUUGGAAGCCGGAGCGCCAGCUUCGGUGGAGGCGCUGGUGGGAUACUGCCCUGACUGUGUUGAAAUUCUAACCCGCACCCGUGAUCCGGGUGGGAGACAGUGUCAGGCGGGCAGUUUGACUGGGGCGGUCGCCUCCUAAAAUGUAACGGAGGCGCCCAAAGGUUCCCUCAGAAUGGUUGGAAAUCAUUCGUAGAGUGUAAAGGCACAAGGGAGCUUGACUGCGAGACCUACAAGUCGAGCAGGGACGAAAGUCGGGCUUAGUGAUCCGGUGGUUCCGCAUGGAAGGGCCAUCGCUCAACGGAUAAAAGCUACCCCGGGGAUAACAGGCUUAUCUCCCCCAAGAGUCCACAUCGACGGGGAGGUUUGGCACCUCGAUGUCGGCUCAUCGCAUCCUGGGGCUGUAGUCGGUCCCAAGGGUUGGGCUGUUCGCCCAUUAAAGCGGUACGCGAGCUGGGUUCAGAACGUCGUGAGACAGUUCGGUCCCUAUCCGUCGCGGGCGUAGGAAAUUUGAGAGGAGCUGUCCUUAGUACGAGAGGACCGGGAUGGACACACCGCUGGUGUACCAGUUGUCUCGCCAGAGGCAUCGCUGGGUAGCUAUGUGUGGACGGGAUAAGUGCUGAAAGCAUCUAAGCAUGAAGCCCCCCUCAAGAUGAGAUUUCCCAUUACGCAAGUAAGUAAGAUCCCUUGAAGAUGACGAGGUAGAUAGGUUCGAGGUGGAAGUGCGGCGACGCAUGGAGCUGACGAAUACUAAUCGAUCGAGGACUUAAUCAA
This 979-nucleotide ribosomal RNA is filed under the name Janibacter anophelis. RNAcentral describes it as "bacterial LSU rRNA". It matches the Rfam family "Bacterial large subunit ribosomal RNA", at positions 1947 to 2925 of the family's 2925-position model. Lineage: Bacteria; Bacillati; Actinomycetota; Actinomycetes; Micrococcales; Intrasporangiaceae. The record is from RNAcentral.